RNAcentral lists this ribosomal RNA (522 nucleotides) under uncultured bacterium. RNAcentral describes it as "partial 16S ribosomal RNA". It matches the Rfam family "Bacterial small subunit ribosomal RNA", at positions 28 to 523 of the family's 1533-position model. The record is from RNAcentral.
GACGAACGCUGGCGGCGUGCCUAAUACAUGCAAGUCGAACGCAAAACUUUCACCGAAUGCUUGCAUUCACGAAAGUUUUGAGUGGCGAACGGGUGAGUAACACGUGGGUAACCUGCCCAGAAGAGGGGGAUAACACUUGGAAACAGGUGCUAAUACCGCAUAAUAACAAAAACCGCAUGGUUUUUGUUUGAAAGAUGGGUUUGCUAUCACUUCUGGAUGGACCCGGGGCGUAUUAGCCAGUUGGUAAGGUAAAGGCUUACCAAGGCAAUGAUGCGUAGCCGAACUGAGAGGUUGAUCGGCCACAUUGGGACUGAGAAACGGCCCAAACUCCUACGGGAGGCAGCAGUAGGGAAUCUUCCACAAUGGACGAAAGUCUGAUGGAGCAACGCCGCGUGAGUGAAGAAGGUUUUCGGAUCGUAAAACUCUGUUGUUAGAGAAGAACGUGUGUGAGAGUAACUGCUCAUGCAGUGACGGUAUCUAACCAGAAAGCCACGGCUAACUACGUGCCAGCCGCCGCCGUAA